This 428-nucleotide ribosomal RNA is filed under the name uncultured archaeon. Its description in RNAcentral is "bacterial SSU rRNA". It matches the Rfam family "Archaeal small subunit ribosomal RNA", at positions 474 to 903 of the family's 1478-position model. The record is from RNAcentral.
UACCAGCACCCCGAGUGGUCGGGACGAUUAUUGGGCCUAAAGCAUCCGUAGCCGGUUCUGCAAGUCCUCCGUUAAAUCCAACUGCUUAACAGAUGGGCCGCGGAGGAAACUACAGAGCUAGGAGGCAGGAGAGGCAAGCGGUACUCAGUGGGUAGGGGUAAAAUCCGUUGAUCCAUUGAAGACCACCAGUGGCGAAGGCGGCUUGCCAGAAUGCGCUCGACGGUGAGGGAUGAAAGCUGGGGGAGCAAACCGGAUUAGAUACCCGGGUAGUCCCAGCCGUAAACGAUGCAGACUCGGUGAUGGGUUGGCUUCGUGCUAACCCAGUGCCGCAGGGAAGCCGUUAAGUCUGCCGCCUGGGUAGUACGGUCGCAAGACUGAAACUUAAAGGAAUUGGCGGGGGGCACAGCAACAGGAGGAGCGUGCGGUUU